GCCAGGUGUGGUGGUGCACACCUGUAGUCCCAGCUACUCAGGAGGCUGAGGCAGGAGGAUUGCUUGAGCCCAGGAGGUUGAGGCUGCAGUGAGCCAUGAUCGUGCCACUGUACUCCAGCCUGGGCAACAGAGCAAGACCCUGUCUUAU
Molecule: signal recognition particle RNA, 148 nt
Filed under: Pan troglodytes (chimpanzee)
Lineage: Eukaryota; Metazoa; Chordata; Mammalia; Primates; Hominidae
Description: Metazoan signal recognition particle RNA
Rfam family: Metazoan signal recognition particle RNA
About the family: The signal recognition particle (SRP) is a universally conserved ribonucleoprotein.
Source: Rfam by way of RNAcentral